RNAcentral lists this ribosomal RNA (253 nucleotides) under uncultured bacterium. Its description in RNAcentral is "partial 16S ribosomal RNA". It matches the Rfam family "Bacterial small subunit ribosomal RNA", at positions 524 to 776 of the family's 1533-position model. The record is from RNAcentral.
GACAGAGGGUGCAAACGUUGUUCGGAAUUACUGGGCGUAAAGCGAGUGUAGGCGGUCCGCUAAGUCGGGCGUGAAAGCCCUGGGCUCAACCCAGGAAGUGCACUCGAAACUGACGGGCUAGAGUAUCGGAGAGGUUGGUGGAAUUCUCGGUGUAGAGGUGAAAUUCGUAGAUAUCGAGAGGAACACCGGUGGCGAAGGCGGCCAACUGGACGAAUACUGACGCUGAGACUCGAAAGCGUGGGGAGCAAACAGG